This is a long non-coding RNA of Gymnodraco acuticeps, 648 nucleotides long. RefSeq lists it as uncharacterized. NCBI's taxonomy places the organism in Eukaryota, Metazoa, Chordata, Actinopteri, Perciformes, Bathydraconidae. The record is from RefSeq and is a predicted model, not a curated record. The transcript is spliced from 3 exons.
AGUACCUGUAAUAUGUGCAAUAACAAUAAAGUUGAAUCUAAUCUUGAGCAGGAACAAAUGCAUUUACUUAGUACAUAUCUGACAUUAACGAAUAUACACAUUUGUGCAUUCUUUAUAAAUGCAAACUUGUCAAGACCACUGACGGAAGUAGUUUUGAAAAGUAAUAAGUGGUUCUGUCUUUUACAUGUAUUCAACCCCCCUUGUACUGAUUUGUUUCAAAAUGAACUGACACUUGAGUCAUUCAUUUGUAGUGAUAUAAUAAUUGUGGGAUUUCUAUUGCAUCCACUUCAUCUGCAACGGAAAACGCCAACGCAAUUUCCGCCAUUGCAAACCCAGCCAGUCAAGCCGACUCCGACUCCGAGCUGUCCGACUUAAGACGAGCUUUUUGACCCUCCCCCGGCUGCGAUCGGCUACUCUCGUCUACUUUCGAGGCGAGCCGCAAUGUGUCUCAAACAAGCCUAAUUACCAAGGACACUUAUGUUUGCUCAAAGCACUUCAGAGAUGGGAAGCCAACUCUGGAAUAUCCAGAUCCCAUCCGGGCUCUCGUGUGUGCUGCUCCGAAAAGACACAGACCCUCACCCAAAAAAAGUUGUCAUUUCAGGUGUCAACGCACAACCCGCCUCCACCCCUUCGCCUCCUGUCUCCUAA